RNAcentral lists this ribosomal RNA (301 nucleotides) under uncultured bacterium. RNAcentral's name for it is "partial 16S ribosomal RNA". It matches the Rfam family "Bacterial small subunit ribosomal RNA", at positions 509 to 809 of the family's 1533-position model. The record is from RNAcentral.
CAGUCGCCGCGGUAAUACGAAGGGGGCUAGCGUUGCUCGGAAUUACUGGGCGUAAAGGGAGCGUAGGCGGAUCGUUUAGUCAGGGGUGAAAUCCCGGGGCUCAACCUCGGAACUGCCUUUGAUACUGGCGAUCUUGAGUAUGGGAGAGGUGUGUGGAACUCCGAGUGUAGAGGUGAAAUUCGUAGAUAUUCGGAAGAACACCAGUGGCGAAGGCGACACACUGGCCCGUAACUGACGCUGAGGAGCGAAAGCGUGGGGAGCGAACAGGAUUAGAUACCCCAGUAGUCCCUGUCUCUUAUCA